Molecule: unclassified non-coding RNA, 1129 nt
Filed under: Hevea brasiliensis (rubber tree)
Lineage: Eukaryota; Viridiplantae; Streptophyta; Magnoliopsida; Malpighiales; Euphorbiaceae
Source: RNAcentral
AUCCCUAUCAGCAAACAUCAUUUGAUGCAAUCUUCUCUCUGUAUGUGUGACUGCCAUUGAGACUGAUGUUUUGGCACUCCUAAUGUCAUUAUCCCCCUUCAGAACAUUCCUUAAGCGAGCCUCAAUUCUAUCAAUUUGUUGUGUGUCCUCGAUUGGGGACCCUGAAUUGCAGUCCUUUACAUGAAUUAAUGAAGCAAUUCGGCCAUUGUGAGUCCAAACUUUAGCCUCUACCACAUCACAUUGCAGGUCAGCUAACACUGCAAAGACCUCCGAAAGAAGGCCGAUCCUGUCUGUGCCCGUUAGUUCUAAUGCUGUUAAGCCGCUAAAAUCAUGGGUUCUGCCAUAAUGAAUGGUACCAAGUGACUGCUCAAUGUAGUCAAUAACGCUCGCGUCUGUCAGUUUAUUUCCGUUCAGAUCAGUCACAUGAAAAACAUCCAUGAACCACCUUCCAUCGGAAGAAAUAUAAGCUUUUUUAAUUGAAAGGUUCAGAUCCGUGAGAACCUGAACAGCAUGAAGCAACAUUCCAUGUUUCCUGGCACUGUCAACCUUGACAAGAGUCGCAGUGGGGCAAACGGCAUUGUCGAUGACGACCCUGGGAGUGGUCAUCCUAUAAACAAGUUUUUCAUACUCAUCCAAACAAGCACUCCACUCCAUUUCUAUAAAGCUUCUCUUCCUUUCUUUGCUUCAAUUUUCAACCCCAGAAAACAGAAAACCACCUUAAGCGCUAAAACUACAAGGUCUUCCUUUCUUAAUCCUGCUAGAGUUUCUCUUUUUAACAGCCUACAAAGCCAAAGGACGAGAAAUUCAAAGACCCAGCAAGGCCAAUCACCGAGAAAAGCCACGAAAAAUAACAAUCCCUUUUGAGCUGUUGUCAAACAAAGCCAAAUGCCAGAUUUUCUCAAAACUCUUAACUUCUAUACCCCCUUCGUCCAAAUCGCCAUUAACAACCCCAAACAAACUCAACUUCCUUUCUUCCCCUUCUUUUGUUUUCUUUCCCCCCUCUCACUCUCUCCCGCGAAAGUUACGAUUUGCUCCCACUUAACUCUCUCAAGCGCAAAGCACGCCUUAUUCUUGAGAGAUGACUCUUCUUGCCUAUGUACCUCUCCCCCUAUAUAUUUUCAAUAUUUUU